CAUAUUUUUAAAACUAUCUUCCGGAUUACCAGCUAUGGCAUAUUCUCUUCCAUAUGCUCAAUAGCAAAAAUGGCCGGAAGUAGAACAACUCCCCACCUGGCAUAACAUAAUCCGGCUAAAAACAAAAAUGCUUUUGGCCGCCCUCCGUUCAUGAAACGGAGGGCGGCCAAAACUCAACUUUUAAGCUGGUUCGCUCUAGGUAUACAAAU
RNAcentral lists this small nucleolar RNA (209 nucleotides) under Eremothecium cymbalariae DBVPG#7215. Lineage: Eukaryota; Fungi; Ascomycota; Saccharomycetes; Saccharomycetales; Saccharomycetaceae. The record is from RNAcentral.